AAUGAAGUGCCUGAAAAAGGAUUAUCUUGAUAGGAUAAAUCAUGUAAAACCGAGAUUUACCUUCAUUA
Molecule: transfer RNA, 68 nt
Filed under: Lysiosquillina maculata
Lineage: Eukaryota; Metazoa; Arthropoda; Malacostraca; Stomatopoda; Lysiosquillidae
Description: tRNA-Ile
Source: RNAcentral